Molecule: ribosomal RNA, 225 nt
Filed under: Triticum aestivum (bread wheat)
Lineage: Eukaryota; Viridiplantae; Streptophyta; Magnoliopsida; Poales; Poaceae
Description: partial small subunit ribosomal RNA
Source: RNAcentral
AUGCGGGUCGGGCGGCGGUCAGAUCUGCCACGGCCAGAACCGGCGUCCUCUUCCUCCCUAUCCAGCUUCCUCCCAUGGCUGAGAAGAGGGCUUCGUCAAGUAUCCCAUGACGGAGGUCAACGAGGGAGGCUGCUUCCUCCGAUCCCAGAUCGACUAUCCGUCGAUGGAGGCCAUGAGAGCCACAUGGGCACACACAUGGUUGCGCUUCAAGCUGCAGCUCGAUAG